AAACCUUUAUAAAUUGGCGGCCAUAAUUUUAUAGAGGAAUUCGCUGUAUAAUCGUAAAUACCCGAUAAAUUUAACCACUAUCAAAAGUUUGUAUACCGCCGUUUAACAGAAUACAAUUAAUACCCCUACAUAGUAAAAACUAAAAAAUCAGGUCAAGGUGUAGCUAACAUAGUGGAAACAGUAAAUUACACUAUAACAGAUAUUAGAAUUAUAAUUACAAAUUUAUAUGAAAAAGAAUCUAUAAUCACAAAUAACAUAAUAUACUAUUUAGAACUUAAAACACAUGGCGU
RNAcentral lists this ribosomal RNA (290 nucleotides) under Smeringopina simintang. RNAcentral describes it as "partial 12S ribosomal RNA". Lineage: Eukaryota; Metazoa; Arthropoda; Arachnida; Araneae; Pholcidae. The record is from RNAcentral.